AUGUACCACUCGUACACUCCGGUUCCUGUGCGCCGCCCGCACCCACCUGACGACUGCUCGCAUAAGAACGCUCAAAAACGAACAUCCACCUCAGUUGGCUUCGUCAGCG
RNAcentral lists this small RNA (109 nucleotides) under Xanthomonas vasicola. RNAcentral describes it as "sX9 sRNA". The stretch from base 1 to 87 matches the Rfam family "Xanthomonas sRNA sX9". The record is from RNAcentral. Lineage: Bacteria; Pseudomonadati; Pseudomonadota; Gammaproteobacteria; Lysobacterales; Lysobacteraceae.